RNAcentral lists this ribosomal RNA (497 nucleotides) under uncultured bacterium. RNAcentral's name for it is "partial 16S ribosomal RNA". It matches the Rfam family "Bacterial small subunit ribosomal RNA", at positions 28 to 507 of the family's 1533-position model. The record is from RNAcentral.
GAUGAACGCUGGCGGCGUGCCUAAUACAUGCAAGUCGAGCGAACAGACGAGGAGCUUGCUCCUCUGACGUUAGCGGCGGACAGGUGAGUAACACGUGGAUAACCUACCUAUAAGACUGGGAUAACUUCGGGAAACCGGAGCUAAUACCGGAUAAUAUAUUGAACCGCAUGGUUCAAUAGUGAAAGACGGCUUUGCUGUCACUUAUAGAUGGAUCCGCGCCGCAUUAGCUAGUUGGUAAGGUAACGGCUUACCAAGGCAACGAUGCGUAGCCGACCUGAGAGGGUGAUCGGCCACACUGGAACUGAGACAUGGUCCAGACUCCUACGGGAGGCAGCAGUAGGGAAUCUUCCGCAAUGGGCGAAAGCCUGACGGAGCAACGCCGCGUGAGUGAUGAAGGUCUUCGGAUCGUAAAACUCUGUUAUUAGGGAAGAACAAAUGUGUAAGUAACUAUGCACGUCUUGACGGUACCUAAUCAGAAAGCCACGGCUAACUACGUG